UAAGCAGACCGCCUUAUCGCUCUAUUUAUAGAGAGGAAAGUCCGGACACCACAGAGAAGCAUAGCGGCUAACAGCCGCCAAUAUCAUUUUUGGUAUUAGGACAAGUGCAGCAGAAAGAAUGUACAGGUAAUGCUGUAGUGAAACCAGGUAAACUCUAUGCGGUGCAAUGUCAUGUAAACCAAUGUUUGAGGGUGCUCGCCCGAUGUUGGAGGGUAGGCAGCUAGAGGUUUUUGGCAACAAAAACCCCAGAUAAAUGAUAAGGGCCUUUUAGGUACAGAAUCCGGCUUAUAGGUCUGCUUUUUUU
This 304-nucleotide RNase P RNA is filed under the name Mesonia algae. Its description in RNAcentral is "Bacterial RNase P class A". It matches the Rfam family "Bacterial RNase P class A". From Rfam's summary of the family: Ribonuclease P (RNase P) is a ubiquitous endoribonuclease, found in archaea, bacteria and eukarya as well as chloroplasts and mitochondria. Its best characterised activity is the generation of mature 5'-ends of tRNAs by cleaving the 5'-leader elements of precursor-tRNAs. The record is from Rfam by way of RNAcentral. Lineage: Bacteria; Pseudomonadati; Bacteroidota; Flavobacteriia; Flavobacteriales; Flavobacteriaceae.